Non-coding RNA from Biomphalaria pfeifferi, 431 nucleotides. The record is from the annotation of a GenBank genome assembly. NCBI's taxonomy places the organism in Eukaryota, Metazoa, Mollusca, Gastropoda, Planorbidae.
CUUGUUCAAAUUAAACAAAAUGGAGCAGCAGAUGUUGACCAUUAUAUAACAGUGUACUAACUAGAAUGAAAAAACAACAAAUGAACAAACAACAAACUCUUACUUCAGUUAAAUCUUUAAUCACAAUGAUGCUAUCAAUUGGUUCUUUGCAUUCUUUGAAGAGCAGAAGACUGCUAAACAACCAUGCAAUACUUAGACUAAGACAAACUGUUGGAUUUGUGUCUACACACAACACAGUCAACAUAACUAAUUAGGAUCUAAUCUAAAGUUCUAGAGUUAAAUGAUUUACACCGUUAGAGCUGUCUAAUAAUGGACAUGAAAAAUAAGAGUAAUGAUCUGAUGAAACUGAAAGGAAGACAGUCAAAAGCUUUGAUUAAUGUGGAGAUUCAAAAUUUACUUCCUUAGUGUGAAUAUCCACAUUCCCCCCCCCC